AGGGAUCCUGGCAGGGGCCAGCCAGCCCUCCCAGGACAGAGGUCGGUGCCUCCAGGGCCAGCGUCACAAAGGGCCCUGGACUUUGGCCGACACGUCCCAGGACGGGGCAAGGGCCCCCUGGACCACAGAUAAACAGCCACCUGUGCGGCUGGAGGAAGCCGACUCCAGGCACCCCUGACCUGCAGGAGCCAGACCCCGGCGACACGUCCAGGAAGCAGGAAGCCCCGUGGAUGCACCACGCUCCACGCUUCGGACAGUCCCCGUCCCGCCCCGGCCCGUGUUGUCCUAACCAACCCAGACAAGGCUCCGGAAUCAUGGGGAACGUGACCAUCGGCCAGAAAGCUAAACAGCCGUCGCUGUCAGCGCCCGCGGCUCCGCGUCCACGGCCACGGCUCCCACGAGCCGGGGCGCCUCGCCGGGGCCGCCACCUGGGGACCCUCCACCCAAGACGCACAUGUCCACGCUGCACCGCACUCUGCAGACCUGGGCGCCUGGGGUCCCUGGCCUGGCCUGCAGGACCCGGCCCGGAGCACCGCCCGCGUCUCCCCAAGGACAAGAGCGUGAGGGUGGGCCCCUCACUCCACACCCGGGAGGUCUGGGGGGCCCGCCCCCGGGACAGGUCACAGGGAUCCCAUGGGGAGCCUGGGUUUAGGAGGGCAGAGGGAAGGAGCCACAGGCUCCUCUUUAGGAGCAGCCACAGGCUGCUCUUAACUGUGUCUUGAUCACGACCCUCACUGGGCCCGCGCCCCCAGAUGGCCGGCACCCUG
This is a long non-coding RNA of Cervus elaphus (red deer), 767 nucleotides long. RefSeq lists it as uncharacterized. The record is from RefSeq and is a predicted model, not a curated record. The transcript is spliced from 3 exons. Lineage: Eukaryota; Metazoa; Chordata; Mammalia; Artiodactyla; Cervidae.